This 216-nucleotide long non-coding RNA is filed under the name Panax ginseng (ginseng). RNAcentral's name for it is "long non-coding RNA (PGIN_LNC009141)". Lineage: Eukaryota; Viridiplantae; Streptophyta; Magnoliopsida; Apiales; Araliaceae. The record is from RNAcentral.
UUUGAUCCUCCAAGUGUCCAAGUCUUGAGUCUGAAGAGGAGUCCCUUUCCAAAUGGAAUGGAAGGGGUAUUUAUAGGGUUUUCUGGAAAGUAGUCAUGUGCAAGGCACAUGCCUUCAGGAAAAUUCCAGAAAUACCCUUUAGUCCUUAGAGUAAUGCCCAUAUUGCCCUGUCCUUCUAGCCACCAAUCCGAUCCCUCAAUCAAUUCCCAAAACGAG